GUUAUACAUAAUAAUAAUAAUUAAGGUAAGUGUAACGUACAUUUGCAUUUUGCAACAGAAACAGCUUCUUAUAGAGUAUUGUUUUACAGGCUAAUCUUUUUUUAUGUAAUGUAUUCAAAUGUAAUUAUAAUUAGGAUUGGGAUAAUACAAAAAUAUACUUUUUGCUUAGUGAUAUCUAUUACAUUGUGACAGAAUUUGGUUUCUCAAUAAUUCUCAUCCCGAGUGCCAAACUGAUCAACUGCAUCCUAAUGGAACGUUCAAGAUGUGAUUCAGUAACUGAUACGGUUGUUGCAAUAAUUAUUUUUGACCAAAUUGAGUCCACAAAAUAAUUGAAGAAAUGGUUUCAGAUGAUUACGAACAAGCGCCAGCUAUCUUUGGAGAGGUAAUGCACCUACUGAUAUCCCGUGAUAAGAACUUUGGAGAGAUUUAGUGAAAACCUGGAGAACGGCCACUUAGCUCACAAAUCUGAGCUGUUCACAUCAAGCUGAUAUUUAUGACAGCCAUUAUAGCUUUAAUCAUUUUCUCGAUUGAUCAAAGCACCACAGACUGCAUCGUUCGUCACCUCUGCCUUUAAGCGCGUUAUCACCUACUCCAAUAAGCCACCCCAAUAUCCUUAAUAAGCAAUAGAAGUUCUUAUCGACUGUGUAUGACUCAUUAAUAUCCAUGUUCUGUAUAAAUUUAUGUGAUAGGCCUACUGGUAUUAAUGUUGAUGUACCGUAAUGUUUUUUGCUCAUGUAUAAUUGAUAAUAAUACAUUAAAAAUAAAUAUAAUGUUAAAUUAUUA
Nilaparvata lugens (brown planthopper) is the source of this 783-nucleotide long non-coding RNA. RefSeq lists it as uncharacterized. The transcript is spliced from 4 exons. Lineage: Eukaryota; Metazoa; Arthropoda; Insecta; Hemiptera; Delphacidae. The record is from RefSeq and is a predicted model, not a curated record.